UCUGAAUUCAUGGAAUUUCAGUCUUCAUUUUUUAAAGAAAGCAUCUUCCCUGUGGUGGACAUCUCUUACAGUAUUUAGAAUGGAAAAAUUCAGACUCUGAAACUGGACAUAGCCUGUUCAGAUAUUAACGCUUUAGAAUGUCUCUCUGGAGGAAGUAUACAAUUGUGGAUUAUCUCGUUAUUUCCAUUGUUGGAGUGUUCAAUAGAUUAGCUACAUUGUCAGAGAUUUCUUAGAAAUCUUCACUUUAGAGAAAAACACCUCUUCAAAUUUAUUCUCCAGUAAAUUUCUAGAAAUUUUCCUUCCAGAGCUAGUUUCUGUGUAAAUGAACAAUUUUCUAGUGCAACAGAAAAACACUUUGAUGAACAUAACAGUGGAUGUGAUAUAAAUUCCUAAGUGUAUUAUAACAGACAGAGCAAUAAUACAAAAUGCUGUGAAACAGCAAAUCUGAGGAAAUUCACAGCCUUCACUGUUUUCAUCAGAACUGGCAGACUGGAACUUGCUGAGACUGGUAGAGAAAUUCAGACAAGAUAUCACACCAUGGAGUAGCAAAAUCUUUGACAAGAUAGCAAGAAAUGAGGAAUCAUCAAUUCUCCAGUCCUAAGCUGAGGUCUGUUGCAACUCAACUUAUUGCAGACUCUCUUCCAUGGAUACCAGAAGGAGCUCCUAUGUUCCUGUGGUUUUUGAAGACCUUGGGAAUGAGAAACACUGACUUUCAAUUAACUUGACACUCCCAGCAAAUUCAGGUAACUGUUUACAUACAGAGCAUUUUUGCAAGCGAAUUAUUCUGCACCAUACAGUGAAAAUGCUUGUACCUUUCCACCUGGGAGAAGAAUUGGAAUAUGUUCCUGUGUCCUCAGGAUAGAUUUGCUCUUCCAUCAGGACAACCACUGUGAAUGUCCUUACAGAUAUUAAGGUAAAUUUUGUUCAAUUUGCUCUACAGAUCAUCCUUUGGACCCAAAUCUCAACUAGUGUUAAUUGAUGUAGCUCUGAAUUUAAUUAAACUUUGGAAGCUCUCACUGCCUGAGAAUCUGUCCUGCAGAUUGCUUUUGGAAAAUGCUUAUACUCAGCUUGAUCUAUCCAUGAUUGAAAUUUAUGCUUUAGCUGAAGGUAAAUUAUGGCUAUUUGGUGAUUAAUACCUUGUUCUCAUGCCAAGCCAAGCUAAGAUGUGCUGACUUAAUUUAUCACUAACCAGAGGUUAUUAUCUUACUGUAAUUAUAAGAAAAUGCACAUCACUUUGACCUUUGAGCAAUUGUGUGGGGAGCUCAUCCCUUAAAGUUCCCCUUGAAUUUCUCUUAAAUCUAACAUCUCCUUCUCUGAAUAGACUUUUGCAAGUCCUUUGCAAAAAUGAGAAUGUCAGAAAAGAGGACAC
RNAcentral lists this long non-coding RNA (1369 nucleotides) under Coturnix japonica (Japanese quail). RNAcentral describes it as "lncRNA (ENSCJPG00005008796.1)". The record is from RNAcentral. Lineage: Eukaryota; Metazoa; Chordata; Aves; Galliformes; Phasianidae.